RNAcentral lists this ribosomal RNA (1501 nucleotides) under metagenome. RNAcentral describes it as "bacterial SSU rRNA". It matches the Rfam family "Bacterial small subunit ribosomal RNA". The record is from RNAcentral.
AGAGUUUGAUCAUGGCUCAGAUUGAACGCUGGCGGCAGGCCUAACACAUGCAAGUCGAACGGUAACAGGAAGCAGCUUGCUGCUUCGCUGACGAGUGGCGGACGGGUGAGUAAUGUCUGGGAAGCUGCCUGAUGGAGGGGGACAACUACUGGAAACGGUAGCUAAUACCGCAUAAUGUCGCAAGACCAAAGAGGGGGACCUUCGGGCCUCUUGCCAUCGGAUGUGCCCAGAUGGGAUUAGCUUGUUGGUGGGGUAACGGCUCACCAAGGCGACGAUCCCUAGCUGGUCUGAGAGGAUGACCAGCCACACUGGAACUGAGACACGGCCCAGACUCCUACGGGAGGCAGCAGUGGGGAAUAUUGCACAAUGGGCGCAAGCCUGAUGCAGCCAUGCCGCGUGUAUGAAGAAGGCCUUCGGGUUGUAAAGUACUUUCAGCGGGGAGGAAGGGAGUAAAGUUAAUACCUUUGCUCAUUGACGUUACCCGCAGAAGAAGCACCGGCUAACUCCGUGCCAGCAGCCGCGGUAAUACGGAGGGUGCAAGCGUUAAUCGGAAUUACUGGGCGUAAGGCGCACGCUGGCGGUUUGUUAAGUCAGAUGUGAAAUCCCCGGGCUCAACCUGGGAACUGCAUCUGAUACUGGCAAGCUUGAGUCUUGUAGAGGGGGGUAGAAUUCCAGGUGUAGCGGUGAAAUGCGUAGAGAUCUGGAGGAAUACCGGUGGCGAAGGCGGCCCCCUGGACGAAGACUGACGCUCAGGUGCGAAAGCGUGGGGAGCAAACAGGAUUAGAUACCCUGGUAGUCCACGCCGUAAACGAUGUCGACUUGGAGGUUGUGCCCUUGAGGCGUGGCUUCCGGAGCUAACGCGUUAAGUCGACCGCCUGGGGAGUACGGCCGCAAGGUUAAAACUCAAAUGAAUUGACGGGGGCCCGCACAAGCGGUGGAGCAUGUGGUUUAAUUCGAUGCAACGCGAAGAACCUUACCUGGUCUUGACAUCCACGGAAGUUUUCAGAGAUGAGAAUGUGCCUUCGGGAACCGUGAGACAGGUGCUGCAUGGCUGUCGUCAGCUCGUGUUGUGAAAUGUUGGGUUGAGUCCCGCAACGAGCGCAACCCUUAUCCUUUGUUGCCAGCGGUCCGGCCGGGAACUCAAAGGAGACUGCCAGUGAUAAACUGGAGGAAGGUGGGGAUGACGUCAAGUCAUCAAGGCCCCUUACGACCAGGGCUACACACGUGCUACAAUGGCGCAUACAAAGAGAAGCGACCUCGCGAGAGCAAGCGGACCUCAUAAAGUGCGUCGUAGUCCGGAUUGGAGUCUGCAACUCGACUCCAUGAAGUCGGAAUCGCUAGUAAUCGUGGAUCAGAAUGCCACGGUGAAUACGUUCCCGGGCCUUGUACACACCGCCCGUCACACCAUGGGUGUGGGUUGCAAAAGAAGUAGGUAGCUUAACCUUCGGGAGGGCGCUUACCACUUUGUGAUUCAUGACUGGGGUGAAGCCGAAACAAGGUA